CCCGGCCGCGCCCUCGGCUUUCACCCCCUUGGCUGGGCUCGCGUUUGGUUUUAUUUUUGUGUUUUAAGUGAACAAUCAAUUGCCCCAGGAGGCAAAAGAGUCCUCAGCGACUUGGCUGAGCAACUUAAACUUUCUGCCGGAAGGAAACUAUCAAAGGCGGAGGAGAAAGCCCUCGGGGCCCCAGACUCGCAGCCACUGCCCCGUCCCCGCCGGGGGUCCCCGCGAGGCCGCCGCGGAUCCGGGGACUCGCGGGCCGGGAGGAAAGAGCAGAAAAAGCCCGGGGCAGGCUCGGCCCCGGACCCCGGCAGGAAGCCAGGUUGAAGCUACCCCAUACCCAAGUAACCCCAUCCAAUGGGAAAUUCCAAAUCAAGGCCUCCAAAGAGGGAUUUCUGUGUUUAGCUGUUUACCCACCCAUUCGGCGAGUAGCAGACCCUGACUGUGCUAGACACUGGAAGAAUGGCCGAUGGAGGAAGAGGACCCACGCCAAAGUCGAGCAGUAAAGGAAAGAGACAAACAUAUAAACGGGAGACUAUUGUAUGAUGUGAAAUGUCUGAGGCUUGGUGUAGUUGCUUCAUUUUGGUAACUCUUCUCAUUCAAGAAAUGAGUAUAAAUUCCAGAGACUCCAAACCUUGAAUUCAACUGAAACCAACCCCAAGUAAAGGAGAAGAUGCUCAGGAUGGCUGGAGUUUGAACCUAGUCAACUGGUAGGUGAGUGUGUGUGUUUGUGAUGGGGGGAAAAUCUGGGUUUUGUUUGAAUUCCCAAGACUGCCCUAGAUGAGGAAGAAACUAAUACAGACUCUUCCUAAUCUGAAGUGCCUCUAAGAAUAUUUGUGUACAAGUUGAGUAUCCGUCAUCCAAAAUGCUUGGGACCAGGAGUGUUUCUCCGAUUUUGGAAUAUUCGCAUUAUACUUACCAGUGGAGCACUUCUAAUCCGAAAAUCCUGAAUCCCAAAUGCUCCAGUGAGCAUUUCUUUUGAGCAUUGUGUCAGCAGUCAAAAAGUUUCUAAUUUUGGAGCAUUUUGGAUUUCAAAUUAGGGAUGCUUAACCUGUACUAAGAGUACCGAACUACUGUACUGAGUUGCCUUAAGGCUCCAAUUACAUUAGACCUCUUGCAAAUUUUAUUUCUACUGAGGUUAUUAUUGUUUAAAAAAAAAAAUUUUUCAACAACAUUAAAGAUUUAAUUGGCUUUUGUUACUGAUUCAUGAAUCAGGCAGCGUCCCAUCCAAAAACUGAGAAAAUAUGUUCCAAUAAGCCAGGCAAAGGACUGGGCUUUGUAGGCAGGAAAGACUGAAGAAGCAGAAACAGGGAACAAAAGGCAGAUUGGCGUUUUAGAGUUACUUCUCUUGCAGGGUUAAAGCAUGGGGGACUUCCUCAUCAAACCUGCUCAGGUAAACUGGUCCUUUUGAUUGGCUGCUGUGCAUCUCUUAUUUUUUGGAAAGCUGCCCUUUUUAAAGUUCAGCUGGACAGCCUGGCACCUAGCAGGAAUGACUCCAUUCUGGUUUGGUCUGGUCCAUUGGGCCUAGUGUAAGAGUUCAGUCCAAAACAGUGGCCUCCCAUACAUUUUAUUUAACAUUAUUCUUGAACUACUAUUCUCCUUGCUGUCCCUGGGCUUUCCCAAUUACCAAUAUAACAGAGCCUGUUCUGAAUCAUCCAUAAUCCAAUCCUUCGCAUAGCACAUAUUCUGCUCUCUGAAAAUAUGGGGUGAGUGGGUGGGUGAGAGAGUGAGUUCACCGACCCGACUGAUAAAUCCCAAGCAUGGAGGGUAGAAAGGGCCCUCUGACAUCAGACGGAACCAAGUUUACAUGCAGGCUCCUUUAUGCCCAAUUUGUGUGAAUUUAAGGAAGUAUCUGAGACUCUUCAACCCGUAGUUCCAUCCUCUGUCAAAGAUGGAUACUGAAAGGCUGUUGCAUUAUUUUGGGGGAGGGUUACACACAUGUGGGGUAUGUGUGUGUGAAUAGCAAGUCCAGAUGACAAAGCAUCCUAGUUUGCAUGGGACUGUCCAGGUUUUAGUCCUGGCUGUCCCUCAUUCUGGGAAACUUCAGUCCCACGUAAACUGCAAUUGUUGUCACCUUGUCCCCUUCCCUAGGC
This is a long non-coding RNA of Macaca mulatta (Rhesus monkey), 2087 nucleotides long. The record is from Ensembl. NCBI's taxonomy places the organism in Eukaryota, Metazoa, Chordata, Mammalia, Primates, Cercopithecidae.